GACGAACGCUGGCGGCGUGCUUAACACAUGCAAGUCGAACGGAAAGGCCCUGCUCUUGUGGGGUGCUCGAGUGGCGAACGGGUGAGUAACACGUGAGUAACCUGCCCUUGACUUUGGGAUAACUUCAGGAAACUGGGGCUAAUACCGCAUAGGAGCUCCUGCUGCAUGGUGGGGGUUGGAAAGUUUCGGCGGUUGGGGUUGGACUCGCGGCUUAUCAGCUUGUUGGUGGGGUAGUGGCUUACCAAGGCUUUGACGGGUAGCCGGCCUGAGAGGGUGACCGGCCACAUUGGGACUGCGGUACGGCGCAGACUCCUACGGGAGGCAGAAGGGGGGAAUAUUGCACAAUGGGCGGAAGCCUGAUGCAGCAACGCCGCGUGCGGGAUGACGGCCUUCGGGUUGUAAACCGCUUUCGCCUGUGACGAAGCGUGAGUGACGGUAAUGGGUAAAGAAGCACCGGCUAACUACGUG
This 468-nucleotide ribosomal RNA is filed under the name uncultured bacterium. Its description in RNAcentral is "partial 16S ribosomal RNA". It matches the Rfam family "Bacterial small subunit ribosomal RNA", at positions 28 to 507 of the family's 1533-position model. The record is from RNAcentral.